UACGUAGGGUGCAAGCGUUAAUCGGAAUUACUGGGCGUAAAGCGUGCGCAGGCGGUGCUGUAAGACAGGCGUGAAAUCCCCGGGCUUAACCUGGGAAUGGCGCUUGUGACUGCAGUGCUGGAGUGCGGCAGAGGGGGAUGGAAUUCCGCGUGUAGCAGUGGAAUGCGUAGAUAUGCGGAGGAACACCGAUGGCGAAGGCAAUCCCCUGGGCCUGCAUUGACUCUCAUGCACGAAAGCGUGGGGAGCAAACAGG
Molecule: ribosomal RNA, 253 nt
Filed under: uncultured bacterium
Lineage: Bacteria
Description: partial 16S ribosomal RNA
Rfam family: Bacterial small subunit ribosomal RNA
Source: RNAcentral